GGUUGUGGCUCAGUGGUAGAGCACUCGCCUUGCAUGUGCAAGGCCCUAGGUUUGAUCCUCAGCACCA
RNAcentral lists this transfer RNA (67 nucleotides) under Marmota monax (woodchuck). RNAcentral describes it as "tRNA.Ala". The record is from RNAcentral. Lineage: Eukaryota; Metazoa; Chordata; Mammalia; Rodentia; Sciuridae.